CUCAGCACAAGCAGUAGUCCUCUCUCUCCCUCUCUCUCUAGACUAUCUAUCAAAACUGUAUUCAAUAGCAUUGUAGCAGCAGCCUAACUAAUAAGCUGAGUUCUCUCUCUCUCUCUCUCUCUCUCGGUUUUGGCAAGGGAGAGGACCAGAGGAGUCUCGCACCCUUUUUUACACUCUUUCCUCAGUCGUAGGACUAGUUUUUCACACUUCGCCAAUUCACUUCUCUCAUUCAUUCAUUCCUUUUUUACGUCCCAUCAUUUUACUUCUUCUGCCCCCCUUCUCUGCCCCCUUUCUUCCCCGAAAACGCUCUCCUUCUCACAUGUCAAAAACAAAGUACGAAUUUUCUGUUUAUCUAAGAAAAGAAAGACCCCUCCAAACUCCAUCAGCCUAAGCUCUGAAUACAGAAAAUUUCCAUUCCUCACGCAAGAAAAACAAGUACUACUAAUAUACUUGACGCACGGAAUAGGAAGGAAACCAAGAAACAUUCACCAUCACCACCGCUGCCACCACUCUACAUUAUUGUGUGUGCAAAACACAAACAAAUACUACUCGCUUCUGUUACAUCUUCUGCGGAUAGAAAAAGAAAGAAGGGCUAUAUGCAUCAUCCACACAUGAUCCUUCUAUCAAAUUCAAGAAGAGUUCAAAACCCUACCCACAUCAUCAUCCUGCAAUCUUAAGGUGGCCUUCGCCACAGAUCAUCAUUUCUUAGAUUCUGGGUCUUUUUGGUGGAUGGAUUCAGCCUCUGGAGGACCGGACUUGAGCGGGGGAGGAGAGGCCGGGCCAUCAUCAGCCAGCGGGAGUGGUAGCGCCGAAGGUGUAGGCGGGUCAACGGCUGCGCCACCCAGUCGUUACGAGUCGCAAAAGCGGCGAGAUUGGAACACUUUCCUGCAGUACCUCAGGAACCACAAGCCGCCGCUGACACUAGCUCGGUGUAGCGGAGCGCACGUGAUCGAGUUCUUGAAGUACUUGGAUCAGUUCGGAAAAACUAAGGUGCACGUGGCCGGGUGCCCUUAUUUCGGGCACCCUAAUCCACCAGCCCCAUGCCAGUGCCCGCUCAAGCAAGCUUGGGGCAGUCUUGACGCCCUCAUAGGACGCCUUAGAGCUGCCUACGAAGAAAACGGUGGAAGACCCGAAUCCAACCCUUUUGGUGCUAGAGCUGUUAGGAUUUAUCUCAGGGAAGUAAGGGAAAGCCAGGCCAAGGCUAGAGGGAUACCUUACGAGAAGAAGAAACGAAAAAGGCCGGCUGCUACGGCCGUGCCCGCUGUGUCGGUGGCUGCGAGUGAUGUUGGAGCUAGUAGUAGUGGCGGUGGGGAUGUAGGAGGAGGAGGAGGAGGUGAUGGUGGUAGUGGUGGCGGGCCUGGAGGUACUCCUACUACUGUGGUUGUUACCACGACAACAGUAUAGCAAAUUUUAUUACUACCAGCAGUACGUCAUUUCCAAUUUUUUUUUUUUAAUAUAAAAAUUUCCCCCAUUUUCUAGACUAAUUGUGUGCCUUCUAAUUGCGACUAUGAGGCUAUCUCGAAUUUCUUAUUGCACUAAAACUGCAAGAAGGAACGUCGGUCGGUGGAAAUUAUUUUGAUCAAUUGUGCUUUUAAGUUAAAAUUUUAGAACGAGGCAGCUGAAGUACGCAUGCAUUAUUUUGCCCAAAAAAAACAAAACAUAAAGGCGCAUAUAGAUAUAUUAAUUAAAGUGUGUUUCAUUCUCUUGCUGCCAACACUUCGUUUCCGGCUUUCUCCUCUUGCAUUACGUGUGUCAUGCUGAUUUUCCCUAUUUAGUUGUUUCUUUUUGUUUUGGGUACAUAGAUAGCCCUUUUGUUUUUUCAUGGCAACCAAGACAAUAUCCGGAAGGAGCUAGGAUACAGACCAGUGGUACUUCUCCAUCCUUUUUCUUCUAUUGUCUAGUGUAUAACUAACAAACUAUAUGGCAUUCUUCAUACUGGUCGAUGUCCUGCGGUGAGUGGGGUUGGGCUUCUCUCAUCAUUGAGGUAUGUGCAAUUGUUCAAAUAUGCAUGUCUACAAAUCAAUAAUAAUAAUGUCUGUUCUAUUUUUUGCCAUUUCACAACAUUACACAUUCUCGUAGGAGUCCAUGCCAAGAGCAAAUGCUGAUAAGCCAAGGGCAUAGGCUAUCAAGUAACGAAAAAUGGUACCUACUCAACACAUUCCUGAUCCCAAGAUACUCCUGGCAGAAGUCUUAGAGAAUUGAACCUGCUAAAGUGGCCUUGGAAUUUGAUUUUAUUCUGGGAAUGUAGGCACUAGUAGGUACUACUAGAACACUUAUGAUUCAUUCUGUUUUUCUCUCUGUCCAUGUUAAAGAGUGGUGUUUUGUAUCCCUCUUCCUCUUAGUUGGUCAGGGGUCUGCCCCAAUGUUUGUGCUUCGCUACAUAAAGAAGAUUAGUUUCAGGGUUUUCAAAUGGAAGCGACAGCGUAUGUGCAUAUAAACACACACAAUGACAAUAGGGACGGGAACAGCACUCAAAUAACUACGAGCAAGUAAACUACACUGUCUUCGGGCUCCAGGUAGUGGUAGACUGGUACUUACUCGAGGUACUGUUCUUCUUUGGUCCCCCAUUUAACUGGACGCUUCGGAUGCUGGGAUACCACACCCCAAGCAAGGGCCAUGAAAUCUACUUGUAGUUAAGCACACGUGGGUCUGGCAUUUGAUACAUAAGAGCACUUUACUUUCAGCUUUCAGGUGCCUUCUUUAUGUCCUACUUACUGAUCGAUCCAACAUUUCCUUUUUCAGGUUUUAGGUUCUUGAUUUUGCCCCUUUGGGUGUUUAAAAAAUCCAAACUUACGGAUCCUCGGGCAAGGCUGGCUUGCUUGUAAAGUGUUUGUUUCCAACAUCGUUAGAGUCAGGAUUCGGUCCUUUUAACUCGAUAUUUUGUACCAGCUGAUUGCGUUUCUGGGGUACGAGUUCGACCUUCACCCUGGUUAAAAUUUUGAUGGAAUCUCAAAAGAGUUCAGAAACAUCCCCGAGUCUUGCCUUUCUUGCACUGUUUCUGGACACGGUCGUUCAACUCAUCCUACACUUAUCAGCAGUCUCGUUUGCAAAACCUAAAUGGCCCUUCGUCAUGAAUGAAUUUAAUGAGUCUAGAUAGUGAGAGGAAACAGCAGGUUUACAUGGUCAGGAUCUAUUGCAUUCUGCCUCUCCCCCGGCCCCUUUCCUUUUUGGACAAUUCUCAUUGCUCAUCUGUUUGAAAAGGAUGGAGAAAAAAAAAAGAGAGUACUUAUCUCUUUGGGUGAUAUUAUAACUGCAAUCGGAAACUAACAGGGAGGAAAAAAGAGAAAGAAUAAAAGGAUGCAAGGGGAAUCUAGAAGAACAAACGAUAGACAUAGGGUGAAAGCAUGAUUGAAAUGGAAAAACGAGAUGGAGUGACGCUACUUUUGUUUAGAGAAACCUCCACAUCAGAAAGAAAAGGACUAGCAGCCAACCAUUGUCUGCUUUUUUGAAAUCAAGUAUUAUUAUAUAUGCGUGCAAUCUAAAUUAUUGUAUCUUUAUAAUUCAA
This is a non-coding RNA of Coffea arabica (coffee), 3505 nucleotides long. Lineage: Eukaryota; Viridiplantae; Streptophyta; Magnoliopsida; Gentianales; Rubiaceae. The record is from RefSeq and is a predicted model, not a curated record.